Molecule: long non-coding RNA, 1073 nt
Filed under: Zonotrichia albicollis (white-throated sparrow)
Lineage: Eukaryota; Metazoa; Chordata; Aves; Passeriformes; Passerellidae
Description: lncRNA (ENSZALG00000008328.1)
Source: RNAcentral
GAUCCGGUGGCCAUGCCCGCCGUGCCGGGAGGUGCUGCGGGAUCUGUGCCGCUGUGUGCCUCCCUCCCUCUCUCCUUCCCUCCCUGCCCCCAUCAGAGAGGCCUUGCCAGGCCGAGUCUCCGUCGGCUGGUUGAGACUUGAUUCAGAGUAGUUUCUAGACUCUCGAGACAAGCUGGGACAGCAGCAUUUCUGUUGGCAGGAUGCUGUGUGCAUGCACACGGUGUGUGCCCGACAGGCAGGGUCACAGUCACUGAGUCUUCUGUGACCAGCGUGAGAUGUGGAGCCUCUUUGAGGAGAAUUUCUUGCAGCAGUUGACUCUUGUGGCUGGGAUUUUUCAUCUGUGAGGAGUGUCUUUCCAGUGUCUCCCUUUUCUGUAGCAAGUAAAAGUGUCAAGAAGACUGUUGGCCAUUACAGCAUUGUGUGUGGAAAGCAUUUUUGUGACAGAGCAGAGAAUGCACGUCACCAUUUUGCAAAGGAGCCAGUAAUCCUGAGUGAGGCUUUCAUUGCCUGCUGAUCUCAAGUGGGGAAUUUGUGCUUUUCCACUGCCUGCUGGGCUGCCCAGAAGAGACUGAGAGCAGAGACUCUCUGCUUCUCCUUUUAAAUUCUUGCCACAACCAACAAGGUCUGAAGAGGUUUAUUUGAGACACUAAUUGUGGAUCUUGUAUUCCUCUUUUGCCCAAAUCUGAUAACUUUAUCAAAAUGAUGCAAAGCUGUACACUUGAGAAGGGGUAAAAAGGCCAUCCCCAAGGUUCACAAAUGACAGUAGCAGUCAGAGAGGAUUUUUUUUGCUUCAACAUAUACAUAUUUUUUGUUUCGACUGUGUCUGGUGCAUAGAUGUAACUGUCUCCCUUUGCAUUUUGGGCUCUGCUGCUGAGGAAGAAAAAUACACUGUAAGUGCAGAUGAACCACCAGAAAUUAAAAAGCCUACCAGUGCUGGAUUUUAUCAAGACAGUAUCUCGGUGUGUUGCAUGUGCUGGCUGGCUGGAGGUCCCAUCCCUGGCAAACAGAUGGUGUAUGGUGAGCUUUUAAGUAGCCAGUUGCAAGGCUGGAGGUGACCAGGCUGCAGGAUGCUG